Molecule: transfer RNA, 69 nt
Filed under: Gilpinia sp.
Lineage: Eukaryota; Metazoa; Arthropoda; Insecta; Hymenoptera; Diprionidae
Description: tRNA-Ala
Source: RNAcentral
AGGAUAAUAGUUAAAUAUAACAUUUGAUCUGCAAUCAAAAUUUAUUAAUAUAAUUAUUAAUUUGUCUUA